Molecule: long non-coding RNA, 4328 nt
Organism: Mercenaria mercenaria
Lineage: Eukaryota; Metazoa; Mollusca; Bivalvia; Venerida; Veneridae
Exons: 7
Source: RefSeq, a predicted model, not a curated record
GCUAAUCCAACAUAGCUAUCAAGUUUGUCAUUUACAUUUUCCGAAAAUGAUACUUCAAAACAAGGACUUAGAUCUAUAUCUCUUCAUUUUCCGAAAAUGAGACUUAAAACGAGGACGACGAAAAGUUAAUGUCUGCUGUAUAUGUGGCAAAAGUUAAUGUAAAGGGACUUCAUCUUCAAUUCACUAAAAGGUUCGUCAAUCAGCCAUUUUAGAUUUGGUUUUGUUUAAAUAUGACUUCUUUGUAAAACAAAGAUUUAGAGACUGGAAACACAAAGUUUUCCUUUAUUAAUGAUGGACUAUUGGUACCAUCCUGGAAUCAUUUCACACAACUGCUGAGUUGGAUAGCUUUAUGACUGGAACAUUAAGUAGGCUCCUGAUCUGCAAUUGUAAGAGAUGCCAAGAGAAAGGCAAGCGGAAAUCUCGUGCCAUUAUGUCCAACAAAGAAGCUAAAGAUAUGCUGCAUACAGGAAAAUUAUUCCAAAAGGAAAGUAGACGAAAUAGUUGAACCUAAAUAUUCAUCUAAGAAGCAAAGAGUAUGCGGCAUACAAGAAAAGGGUCCUGUUGGCCUUCCUUUUCAAGUGACUGGAGGUCUUUCCGCCGGAAGAUCCUGUGCAAUUGAGUGCUGUUCAUUUGGUAACACUUUGGCAGCUUCAAGUCGACAAGAUGACUUGGAUCAAGAAAAGAAGGAGAACAGUACUCUUGAUUAGAAUAUCACAAUGGUUUUGGAUUACAAGGAUGAAAUAAUCUAUAACGAAGCUAAACACGAUCAUGAGAAGAAAUUUAAAGUGAUAUGUUGAAUGCAAGAUCGGUGAACAAACGCGACUAUUUAAACUACAUUCCUUUUAUACUAGUACUUUUCAAGAUGAUACCAUCUAAAAUAAAUUUCAAUUGUAAACUGCAAUGUUACGUAUUAUACUUAAACAAGUAUUGCCCACUCAGUAUUUAUAUCAGAGAAGAUACUGACAUUUUCCAAAUGACCAAUUUAGCCUUUAUUCCUGAUUUUUCCGUGGUCACCAUACCAAAGAGUAGGAAUAACUGGCAAAAAUGACAAGAUGUUUUUUGUAUUGUUUAUUUUAACAUAUUUAUUUUUAUAAAUCUUCUUCAUUUUGAUUUUUUGUAAUAACAACGACUUUAUCAUCUUCAUUGUCAUUUUGUACACAACUUUUCAAUACAGCAUAACGUAUACAAUUAAAGUCGGUAAAAGAUAUUUUAGAGCAAAUAAUAUUGAAUCUACUUUUCUGCUCAAUAACUUAGGAAUAUUUUGACCUAUGAUCCUCAAAUCACAUUUCACACUGCAUGACCUGUUUUAGUUCUGCGGUUAUUAUCCCCCGACAAAAGUCGGAGGGAUAUAGUUUUGGCGUUGUCCGUCCGUCCGUCCGUCCUUCCGUCCGUCUUUCCGUCCGUCCGUCCGUCCGGAGCCAUAUCUAGGAAAUGGUUGGGAAUAUUUAUUUAAAAUUUCAUAUACAUGUUCACCUCUAUGAGUUCUUGCGGCCCGUCGAGUUUCAGUCAGAUUGCCCAAGUAACACCAGAGUUAUGGCCCUUAGAAGUUUCUAGUGUUAACUAUAUAGGGUACUAUAAAUAUGGCAAUUUCUGCAUCAUAACUUUUGAUAUAUUUGACCUACAACUAUGAAACUUAAUCAGAAUUUAGAUCACCAUAAUGUGGUUGUGUACACACAAUUUUAGUCGGAUUUAUUUGUAAAUUAAAGAGUUAUUGCCCUUUAAUUGUAUAAAAAUCCACAUAUUUGUACAUAACAAACUUACCAUUUAGUAGAAUUUCAUUAAAUUUCUUUCAUUCUUUUCCAUGAACAUUUAUUGUAAACAUGUGAAGUUGUGUACCCAUACCUGGUCAUCCCCUUACCUUGAUCACACACCUCCCCCCUAUCCCCCGACCCUCAACACCCCCCCCCCAAAAAAAAAAAUAAUUUUUUUUUAGAUUUUUUUCAAACAAACUUCAUAUACAUGUUCACCACUAUGAGGUUAUGGGGCCCAUCAAGUUUCAGACAGAUUGCCCAAGUAACACCAGAGUUAUGGCCCUUAGAAGUUUCUAGUGUUAACUAAUAUAGGGUACUGUAGAUCUAUAGAUAUGGCAAUUUCUGCAUCAUAACUUUUGAUAUAUUUGACCUAGAACUAUGAUACUUUAACAGAAUUUAGAGCACUAUAAUGUGGUUGUACACAGACAAUUUUUUACGGAUUUCUUUUGUAACUUCAGAGUUAUUGGCCUUAAUUGUCUAAAAAUCCACAUAUUUGUACAUAACAAACUUACCAUUUGGCAGAAUUUCAGUAAAUUUCUUUCAUUCUUUUCUGUGAACAUUCAUUAUAAACAUGUGAAGUUGCGCACCCACACCUGUCACCCACUUGCCUUGGUCACACCCCCUCCCCACCCCCUCCCAAUUUUUUUUUUUCAUUUCUUAUUUUAGAUUUUUUUCAAACCUUCAUUAUAAACAUGUGAAGUUGCGCACCCACACCUGCUCACCCACUCGAAUUUGCUUGUUGAGUUAAAGGUUAAGGUCACAUUGACUGUUAGUAUACAAAACGGUUUCCGCGAAAUAUCUGGAGAACCCUUACCGUAAGUUUCUUCAACUUUGCAGACGAAUUACCAUUGGGCAGUAUAUAACCUGUAUUCACUUUAAGGUCAAUAAAUUAAACGGUAAGGUCCCAAAACUGUUAAUACAAAAAUGUGUUCUGCUCAAUAUCUUCAGAAUGCAUUGACUUUUAAUUCUCAAACUCAGUAGGCUCAUCGUUCGUGUGUAGUGGUUACCCAUAUUGAUAUAAAAGUCAGUGGGUCAAUUAUCAAUGUCACAGGUAUUGUUUAUAACAAAAAUAUUUUCCUUUUAGCAACCCCUACACCUAGCAGCCUUUUUGUCAAGCAUAUUAUAUAUCGCCUCUCAAGAUUUGAAACCUUGCUCGGUGUAAAUAAUCAUUUUACGCAAGGCCAUCUAGCUGAAUUACGAAAGAUCAGUCGCCCAUCCAUGCCUAUAAUACAACUUGGAGGAGCACCUGGGUCUUCAUCCACCAUCAAAAGUUGGAAAGUCGCUAUAUUUCCGAAAAUGUUUAUAAAGCUUUAUUUUUGUAUUAACGAUAGUAUAUUGAAUGUUGAAAUUAUGAGAACACAUGAAAAUUUAUUGAAUAGAUAAUUGUGCCUUGUUUAAUUUCUACACUUCAUUAUAGUUAUACAUAUGUGCGCAAGUACUACAUCUAUUUCUGUUCCAAGACAAAUCAUUUAUAUGCUACUGUAUAUGUUAUGUUUUAAAAUGUUUAUUAACAAUUUUGUAAUAUAUUAUUUUAUGCUGACAAAGUUAUGGCAGCAUGUCUCCAGACUUCAGGUUGUGUACAACAAUUAUGAACAUCUAUAUAUUAUUUCAAAUUUCACACACUGAUAAUGAUAACACACUUGAAUAAAUGCAAUUUGAUAUUUACAAGGUAGUAUCAGUGUCACCAUUAUAUAUAUAUAUAUAUAUAUAUAUAUUAUAUAUAUAUAUAUAUAUAUAUAGUGUUUAAAGGCAGACAAUUAUUCUUAAGCAACAUGUUUUCGUAUAUUUUGUUAGAGAUUUAAGCAACAAAUUAACCCAUUACAUAUUGUUAAAUCCAUAUUACAAAUGUAUUUUAUUGGUUUUUACACAUUUUUAUAAUUUUACACCACAUUUUGAAAUUUUACGAUUUAAUUUUAUAUUUUACUGUUGCAUUGAUUUUGGAAUAUUUCAACAAUCUGAACCAAAAGGCAAGUUUUAAGACUGUGGAUAGUUUCUGAAUUCACUUAUUUCUGAUCUGCAUUGGCUAUGCAAAUAUAAUAAAUAUGCCUCAUAUUUAUAUAAUUUCUAUGGCUAAGUAGUUUUCAAAUUUAUACUUUUGCUAUGUUAGAUCUAUCUUGGUUGGGCAAUCAAAUUUAAAAACAACACUUGUGAAGAACUAACUGUAUUAAGCGCUUAGUGAACAAAAAGUGCGAAUGAUCAGAUGUUAAAGCUUUGAACUAAUUGAUUACUUGUCUCAAAUCUGAUAAAUCAUCUUAACAGUGCUGCCUAAACGCACAUUUAGAUACAUGUAUUUUUACAAUAUUUUAUUUAAUGUUUUAUUGACAUGUUUCAUCUUAACUACAUUAACAUUGUUACAUUUGAACUAGUGUGUUAGUGAGUAUAUCUCAUCUCUGAUGAAGCACAGUUUAGAAAAAACAGCUUAUGCGAUGGAUGAAGUUUUGAAAAUUUCGUACAGGCAGCUGAACAAUUGUACAGAUUGUCCUGUAUAUUUACUUGAUAAAAUUGAAGAUAAUAUGUCAAGAUUUGUUAGUGAACAUAAAUUUAUAUAUGUAAUAAAGUGAAAUAAAAACGAUAAAA